AAAGUGGCGAACGGCUGAGUAACACGUGGGCAACCUGCCCUUUGCACUGGGAUAGCCUCGGGAAACCGUGGUUAAUACCGGAUACUCCAUAUUUGUCGCAUGGCGAAUAUGGGAAAGCUCCGGCGGCAAAGGAUGGGCCCGCGGCCUGUUAGCUAGUUGGUGGGGUAGUGGCCUACCAAGGCAAUGAUGGGUAGCCGGGUUGAGAGACCGACCGGCCAGAUUGGGACUGAGACACGGCCCAGACUCCUACGGGAGGCAGCAGCU
This 264-nucleotide ribosomal RNA is filed under the name uncultured Atopobium sp. Its description in RNAcentral is "partial 16S ribosomal RNA". It matches the Rfam family "Bacterial small subunit ribosomal RNA", at positions 92 to 355 of the family's 1533-position model. The record is from RNAcentral. Lineage: Bacteria; Bacillati; Actinomycetota; Coriobacteriia; Coriobacteriales; Atopobiaceae.